UACGGAGGGUGCAAGCAUUAAUCGGAUUUAUUGGGCGUAAAGGGCGCGUAGGCGGAACGAUAAGUCGUAUGUGAAAUCCCGGGGCUCAACCCCGGAACAGCAUAGGAAACUAUCGAUCUAGAGGGUAGGAGGAGAAAAUGGAAUUCCACAUGUAGCGGUGAAAUGCGUAGAUAUGUGGAAGAACACCGGUGGCGAAGGCGAUUUUCUAUCUUAUACCUGACGCUGAGGUGCGAAAGCAAGGGGAGCAAACAGG
RNAcentral lists this ribosomal RNA (253 nucleotides) under uncultured bacterium. RNAcentral describes it as "partial 16S ribosomal RNA". It matches the Rfam family "Bacterial small subunit ribosomal RNA", at positions 524 to 776 of the family's 1533-position model. The record is from RNAcentral.